Molecule: non-coding RNA, 15862 nt
Organism: Xyrichtys novacula (pearly razorfish)
Lineage: Eukaryota; Metazoa; Chordata; Actinopteri; Labriformes; Labridae
Source: the annotation of a GenBank genome assembly
CUUCUUGCAUUUAUGACAAUAGGACUUUACUUUUAAAAUGCACAAAAAAGAAGUGCAGUUUCUAGUGUUUUAAUGCCUGGCCAGAGAUUCCUCUCACUUGCUACUGUUUUAGUAAUAGAGACAGUCAGUGCGUUUACAUGCAAAGUUUAAUCGGACUAAGCUCAUAAUUCGUUUUUUUUUUUCCCGCCAAAUCAGACAGCUCUCCUUGUCUGCGUAAAAAUGCAGCUGAGAAAAUUGAAUUAUUGACAUGAGCGUGUCCUCCUCCCCAAAACUAGGGGGCGAUAUGGCUGUGUCCAACCCCAUACAACUGUCAACAACAACAGCAAGUCUGUGCCAGACGUUAGAAGUGGCUACAACUGCAUCUGCUGGGUAUUUUCAAGCAAGAAGAUUGAGCAUCGUACAGCGUUGUUUUUGCGCUACUUUUCCUGCAGAUGAGAUGCACGCUACUCCUCUUCUCUGGUGUUUUUGUUCCGGGAUUAUAGGGGCGUGGCGCACUUGCACAUGCAUUGUCCGAUCAUACUCCGACUAUGCUGGUUACAUGGUAGAGGAAAUCGAAUCACGAUCGCAUUAUCUAGGUGUCUUAAUCAGAGUUCUCAAACUUCGAUUAUAGUCGGACUAAGGUGGUUACAUGCAAUUCAGUUGUACAGUCUUAAUCGGAGUAAGGCAAUAACUCUGUUUUCUCGAGUGUCAUGUAAACGUACUGACUGUCACUUGAAAGAUGAGUAUUCUAACCCAGGACGAAAAUAACAUCUGCAUCAAGAAUAUUAAAAUGUGCGAGGUACCAAAACACAUGGAAGACUUUCUCCAGUGUUUGUUUCUCUGGUCAAAAAGUAUACUCUCAUCAUUCAGCCUUGGUAAGAUGACUUACGACCUAGUUAAUAGUUUUUAAAUUAGUCUAAACAGCUGGCUAAAAAAGUAGUACUUUGUGUUCGAGGUUGUUAAGACUGUACUGACAGUUGGCUCAAGGUCAUAAUUUACCAACGAUUUAUUUACCGUCUUUCUUCCCCUCACAUGCCUGGGAAGCCUGGCUUCCUAGCUACAGAACUGUGUUUGCACAGCCUCUGUAGGUUACAGCUCUUUAAAAACAGCUUCAAGCAAGUAAUCUGUGUUGUUCACCUCCAUCCUUGACCCAGGACAAGGAUUUAGAUUAAUGUGCAGACUUUAGAGGAUAUCUAUGUUGUGGGUGGAUGCAGAGAGAGAGGAAGAGAGGGAAUCCUCUCUGAACGUCUUUUUCUACUUUGUAUGCCCACGCUUGGAUUUGACCCGGGAUUUAACCCUCUAUCCGGGGAUCACACUGAUCACCACUUAUCAUGUCCUCUCAGCUUUAAGCUUUUGCCCUGCAGAUGUUAAAUGUAGAGAAUAAUCUCACCCUGAAGUAUAACAAAUUUGAGGAAUACUUUGUGACUGUCUGUAUUCAUCUUUUUCUGUGAGAUGUUUGGGUGUAGCCUGAAUCAGAGACACCAUCAUCACACCCUGAGGCAGUUGACAGUAUUGAAACACAAUUUCUGGUUUUAUUGGAACUAGGGAUGUCUCAACACGAUGUUGAUAUUGGUAAUUGGUCUGGUAUCAGCAAAAAGAAACAAAUAUCAGAUUAUAUUGGCCUGCAUCUAAAAUCUCUGAUAUCAGCACUGCGAUAUAAGCAGUCCAUUCCAGACUCCACUCCGGCACCUGUAGCUAGCAGCACCUGGUUAUGCUAAGGUACUGACAAAAGGGGAAGGAGUGAUGUUGGCCGUGUAGCAGUAUUUUCUGUAAGGUGCAAUAAAAAUGUUGCAGCUGAGUGCAAAACUUGUCAUGCACAAUUUUGUGCCAAUAUCAGAUCAAUAUCCGUAUCAGCCAAUACAAAAGGGUACAAUAUCAGUAUCGUAUAGGAAGUAAAAAAGUUGUAUCGGGACACCCCUAGUUGGAACCAGAGGCUAUUUUUGGACACUCUCAAGCGCUCUCAUGAUAACUGUAUGUUCAAGGUGCUUGGUGAGGUUUGUUCUGUUUCAUGGCAUCUUUUUGCCACAGAGGCUUUGAUAACUCAGAGGGUUUGCAAUCGCUGUAGGCAAAGUAGACUCACUCUGGUUUCCUGAAGUCACAGAUUGUUGGUAGUGGACAUGUUUAGGCAGAGGCAUUGCUUUUCUCUAUCUCACACUGCUUUGGCACACAUCUCCCUGAGUUUGAGACUCUUGGAACUCUACUAAAAGCAGACAUCUAGAAUGAAGAUCUUCAAAUUUACACCCAAACCCAUUUUCUCAUCAUUAAGUACAUUAUCUGGCUGCUAUUCAGGGUCACCAAUGAAACUAAUCGAAAACUACUAUUGCUGCUAUAUUAUCCGUACCAUAUUACCUGCUAUUAGAUGUUAACUUCUCCAGACUUGGUGCUUUCAAAAAUGUUGGUUGCCCUGUUUACACAUUUCCAACCCACUUUCAUUUCUCUGCAGGUGGCAUGUUGUUCUCAGACCAAUUGUUCUCAGAAAAAAAAAAAAAAGGUGUUACUAGAUUUCUCACUCUGCCAACAUUUCCACAAACUUUAGAGGAUUCUCUUUUGCGAAGUAAGAUCUGUAUUGUAUUUGUCGAUGCCGUGCAUAAAUACAGCAUGAUGUUGGCUUAUACAACAAGGCUGAACUACAACACCAGUUUUAUAAGAGUUGGAGGGCUGUGCAAAUUGUUGAUCAAAAAACAGAGCAAGAUGGUUUGCAAACUUUAAGCAAAAUAGUGCAAAAAAUAUUUAAAAAUUUGAUCAUGCUGUGAAAAAUAUUUGCUCAUUUAUUGAUUUAAUACCAGCUACAUGUAUUGGAAAACUUUUACAAAGUUUAGUAGUACUUAAAACACACCCGAAGAAACAUGUCCCAACUAAUAAGGUUGGUUUGUAAUGGUUUUGUAACAUAACUGGGUGUAAAAGUGCACCCCAGAGAGGCUUAGUCUCUCAGAAGUAAGGAUAGGAAGAUAUUCACUACGUUGUCAGAGUCUGGGUGAGGGAAAGAGUGCAGCAAUUUCAGAAUAAUGUUCCUUAGCCGAACACUGCAAAGAGUUGUGGAUUUCGUCAUCUACAGUACCAGCAUAAAAGACUCAGAAAGUCUGAAGAUGGAUAGACUAAUGGAUUAAGAUAAGCUUUGAGUUGUUUUCAGCUGUGAAACAGAACCCCACAGCUCCAGCCCACAGCAUGUUAACCAUACACUAAUAGUCUUUGGGGUCACGUGCAAGUGAAGGGGCCUAGUGGAUAUAUGCUUACAAGGAGGCAUUUACAUUGUUUUAAAGCUCGCGGUACAGCUGAACUAAUGCUCCCUGAAUUAUUCACUGCUCUCAGAACAUGGGAGAAAAGAAGAAAGAGAGAAAGGAAGGAAGGAAGAAGGAAAGAAAGGAAGGAAGGGGCUUUUUAUUCACUUUACAGAUAACAAGUGAUCAAACUAAUGCUAUCAGACGUCCUUGAUGGCUGUUAAUGUUGAGCAAUAACCGUGGUUGAAGGAUGUGAAAAUUAGACUUGCCACGGACACAGGACAUCUCUGGUGUGUGACCUGACGACAUUUGACUUAAAGAGCCAGCUGGUGUCUUGACAGACUAUUUCUAUUUUAAGAUUUCAUAUGUAGUAGGUCUAAGGAUGUAAUGUAGUAGGUCUAAGGAUGUAACACUGUACGUUGGUAGUUUGUGUGCUGUGAGCUCAGGAAAACUGAACACAUGCCAAGUAUUUGUUUACAUACUAACCUCUUGUUUUUGUAUUCUCUAUAUCCCCUUCUUGAUUAACUGACUUUCUAGCAAUAUUGAUCCCCUUAGUUCACUUAAAUAAUCUGACAAUAUUAAUAACACUGAAAAUAAUUCAUUUUAGAUGCUAUAAGUCCAUUGAAAUCUUACAUGAAAGUUGAACACUCAUUUAAUUUUAUUUUUAUUUCUUUUUUUAUUUUAUCAUAAUGCUAUUUGGACUGAACCAAUUUUUUGCUAAAUUCAUUUUAUUAAAAAUUUGGUACAAAAAUGUUAAGAAGACCCUCUGCUCUCCCUAAUAAAUCAGACUUUUGUGUCAGUUAGCAUCACCAUUAACCAUGGAAUCACUGCUGAAGUACAUCACAGCCACAGUCAUGCCAACUUUCUUUAUUAAUUUCUUGUUGCAAAAUCAAAAUAGUAUAUAUUUUUUCCUUCCCAAUAAUUUAGUUUGAUGUGUAGGUGUUUAACUAGAAGUAGAGAGAAGGGGGGAAAUGGUUUGCCACGCUGAUUUUGCUCAAGAGGGGGUAAAGUGUAACCUGAGCACAGGAAGGGAAACUGAAGAUGUAGGGUGAGCCUCAUAAAAAAAGAAAGACAGGGAAGAUUAAAUACAUAAUGAAUCACUUCUUGAGUGACAUGACACCUCCUAAAGAUGGUGUUUGGUUGAUGCUGAACUCAAGAUGAUGCUGAACCAAAGAUACUAUUCCCAUUACAAUCAUCGGGCCCUUUAUUAGACCUGUCACAAAGAGCCCUGGCGUGCAGCAGAGUGUCAUCGCUAUUUCCUGCCUGACACAGUUACCAAUUUUCACACCCAGCUCCCACACCGUGUAAACAGCGAACGUUUUUGCACCCAUGUUAGUUCUCGUGAGUGUGUUUUUCUUGAGAUGAAGUGUGGUUAGGUGCACAGGUGAUGCACUGCUAUCGUGAGAAUGUGUCUGCACCGUAAAGCGAGUACAGCAGUUUCCUGUUGGGAAGAGGUGUAAGAGUUCACAGUGAUUGUUUCCUUUACACACUUACAGAGAUGCCCAGUGACUGUUUCUUUGGUUCAGUGUUAUAGUUUCAGAGGAUGUAAUAUAAAACCAUCCACUGUCCCUUUUCAAAUUAACAAAUAAAGUAAAUGAACAAACAAGGGACUUCAACCAACCUCUUUGCACCUAGUGGCUUUAUGCUUUUUUGACAACAGUAACAACCAAGACAGUCUGGCUGCAGACCUCCAAUGUGAGGACCCGCUCCACUGAGCAGACCGGAAGUUAAAUCAAGUGCACUGUUGAAUUGGAGCCUUUCAAAAUAAAAGCAACUGUACCGGAAGUACAUUUUUUAUGACGGAAGUUGAUUUGAAGCCUUUCAAAUUAUAAGCGAUUGGACUAAGGAGUAUGUAUUUUUUGUCUCGUGUGAAUAUACUUUAUUUUUUUGGGACUUUAUUUUAUGUUUAUAAUGUUAAACUUCUGUUGACCCUGACUUCUGUAGAGGAUUUCUGCGUUAUUACAAAGAUACAGCCGGCACCUCAAUAUGACGUAUGGCCCAGUCUAACCCGUACACGGAGUAACACUACCGACUCACCACAUGCUGUUCGUUAUGGUGCACAGACUGUAACAGUCUUCACAACAUCUAGGCUACUAAAGUUACUCAUCACAGCGCACUGAACUUUUUUUCCAUCCAAGGAAAUUGAGUUUUUUCCUUAUUUUGCAAAUAUAGCUGUGUUGAUUGUUGUCUAGUUUGUGUGUUUUGUUUUUUAUACUUCAUUAACAUAGUUUGCUCUGUGUUUGAAAAGAAGACAUGACCUAUCAAGAUUAGUUCAUGUCUGUCAAAUGUAGCUUACACUGCCCCAUUCAUAUGAACACACUUAAAGUAAUCCUGGUUUGACUGAUCUGUUUGAUAACAAGCUUUAAUGACUCCAUCUUCUUUGUCAGGUUUAGUUAAGCCAGGCAAAAGAUACCUGAGGUAUGUUGAACUCAUUUAUACUGGGAUUCAUAUACAGGAAUUAUCUUUACCAUAACUUUCAAACAGUUUCAAUAAUCAAUUUUAAACUUGCUGUGCAGGGGUGGUGUGAAUAUAGGGAUUGAUUUGCAUUAGUUGCCCUCAUAGAUCCACAUACACACAGAAGCCUCAGACUAAUAACACAGGGUAUGAGGGUAGCUAUUUUUAAAGUGACACCUAAAUUAGAAAUACAGCAUGAUUAUUGAUUACGUAAUCAUAAAGAUCUGAGUGGCUUUUAUGUAACUCCAUGUGUCAUUGACAUGUAGCCAUAACAUUCAUUCCAUGUCACUGCAGUUCAGUAGGACACAGACAGGUCAAUAUGCACUGCUCUGGUCUGGAGCAUAUCCGGACCAAUGUUGCUUGGACAAAAUAACCUCUACUGAAACUAAGUUUUUGUUUUGAAAGUCACUGUUGCUGUUCGAUGGAAAUUAUUGAGUCAAAAAUUAUACAGUUGUAUGUAAUUUUGAAUAAAACUUCUCAAAGAGGCAAUUUUAAAGUGGCGAUACUAGACUUUGUCAUAUUUGAUAAGAAAUUAUCAGGUCAAAGAUGUCAAUACGAAUAGUUUCAGUACCGAAUUAAACAUGGGUGGGUGUAAGCUGAUGAUAAGACUGCAGACUGCUUUAAACAACUUAAAAAAAAAAAAAACAAGUAAGAAUUAAAGGGUAACUUCUGUAUUUUUCAACCUUGCCCCCUUGUUCCCCUUGAAGUGAGAAGGACACAAAAUUGUUUAUAUCAUGAUAUCCCCCAGUGGUGAAUCUCAUGAAAAGAGCAGGAUAAAGAAAACACUAAUCAAACAGGACUGUAUUGCUCUGUUCUUAGCUGCAAGCGAUUUUUAUGCCUCUUUCCAAACUUUCUGGAGCGCAUGUGGGUCCAAAAUAUGACCAUGUUUCAAAAUUUCUCAUUUUAAAGAGAGAAAUACUGAUUAACUCCUGGUUAACUCUCAAACUGUCCUUGUUUUGAUUGAUACUAUCACCCAAGCGGUCACCUAUUUCAAAUACAAAUAAAUUUGUUGUGGCCGUAUAUCAUUUUCAUAUGUUAAAUGGUGUUAAAAGCCCACGCUAGCCUGCUUUCCAAAGAAAACUUUAAUCCAAAUUGGCUUUUAGUUUCCAAGUUAAACAAUCUGCCAGUGGUCUUACUAUUCUUAAUGGUUAAAAUACCACAAAUAAAACCCCAACACCACGUAUAUUUCCUCAAAUCUUUCAAUUAAUACUUACUGACAUUUACCUUGACUUGCUUUCCAUGCAGAUAAGACAGAAUGAAGAUAAUCUAGGAGGUGUGUCUGACUUUCCUCCCAUGGCUGGUAGAGGCGCACAAUUUGGAAACGCUCAUAUAGGUCGUAUUAGAGGACCGGAACAAAUGACCUACUCGGUCAUAUACAUUGGAGGACUUGUUGCCUGCUUUGUCUUGUGAAGAUGUUACAUCAUAUUCUGUAAUUUGUUGUGAAACCAAGCACUCUAUAAUCUUUUUGCUCUGUAAGAUGUAAAUGCAAAUUUCAUGCUCUGCAACUGUGGUGUACCUCAUUAUUGCUGCUUCCACUUUGAGUGACGCCAGUGUGGAGCCACAGCUAUGUGUGGUCUAGCUGUGGCUGACCGUUAUUGAUCUGCUGUCGACCAGUCUGACAUCACUGAAGUGUACCAACCAUUUUUGCCUUCACAAACCUGCAGAGUACAUGCAGAGACACAUGGCUGCUGUUUUUCUGAGACAAGAGUUACAGAAGUCGCAAAAAAUUAUCAAAACAUUUUACAUUAAAGUCAAUGGGAGAGGCAACUAUUGUAGUUUUUCAAACAUCCACCGGCUCUAUAUACUUUCACCUAGAGAUUCCAUUUAAACUUUAAAAUGUAGACACAAGUCUUGUCCAUUGGUGUAUUACUCCACAUUUCAAUAGGUAUUGUAGUUUUUCAUGAAUCACUGAUCAAUCAUCAUGAUUAUUUUUGGAGAAACUUGAGAUUAUAAUGGGUGUGUAUUGCACCAAACAUCUUUUUAACUUGCCUAAUUUCUUUGGCAAAGAGACCAAACACAACUCGCCUACUCUCUUCCAGCAGCCGCUUGUUUGUAGCGAGACCUCAGGCCAGUCCAUUACGGACUGCAGCGGGGUGACGCAGCUCAUGGAAGAACAUUUAUGAUAAUUCCUUUAUCAUUUCCUUGAAGUAAUAAUCACCAUAUUAAUAAUUUUGCACUGCAGACGUGGUAGUUCUUCUGCUUUAGCGUCUCGGUCUGAUUGCAUUUCCAUGAAGUCAGUGGACUGGCCCGAGGUCUUGCUACAAACAAGCGGCUGCUGGAAGAGAGUAGGUGAGUUUUGUUUAGUCUCUUUGCUAAAGAAAUCAGGCAAACCCAGAAAGAUGUUUGGUGGCUAGUACUAUGGCUAGGACCCAUAUGUACUGUUGAUGAAGUUAGGUGCUGAUCUCAGCAUUAUUUGUGGCUAUAGAGUGGCGUUUUGGAUGAGAAUUAUCAAUGGCUCCUCAGACCGAAGCAGAGCACACACACUAAAUCAGGGGAACGCUGUAGCCAGUCCUGUAACCAGAGACACCAUGACGCACAAGGGCCAAAGCCAACAGGACGCUCUUGGGCUGAAUAGACCACCGCUGCACCCGAAAAACAUUAUGAAGAUUGGAAACUGGAAUGUACGGACACUAUACACAAGCGGCAAUAUCACACUAGCGGCAAGAGAAAUGACCAAAAGGGGAAUGGACAUCUUGGGCAUCAGCGAAACACACUGGACAGGACAAGGAAAAGUGGAACUGGCAGGAGGAGAAACCAUCAUUUACUCAGGAAGAGACGACGACAACCAUAGACAAGGCGUAGGCAUACUCAUGUCAAAAACUGCAGCAAGAGCCCUGAUUGACUGGACACCGGUGAACGAAAGAAUCAUUUUAGCCAGAUACCACUCCCAGCACAUCAAGCUGACAAUCGUACACAUUUACGCACCCACAGAAGACGCAGAAGAGCAAGAAAAGGACAUAUUCUACAUGAGACUUCAAGAUGUACUAGACAGUAGGAACAAACACGACAUGCUGAUUAUAACAGGAGACAUGAAUGCCAAAGUAGGAGAUGGAUACCAGGAUUAUGACAGGGUCAUGGGCAAACAUGGACUCGGAAGGCUGAAUAACAACGGAGAAAGGCUGUGUGAAAUAUGCGACAUGAAUGAACUAGUCAUAACAGGAACUCUUUUCCCACAUAAAGAAAUUCACAAAGCAACGUGGGUAUCUCCAGAUGGGAAGACCAGGAAUCAGAUUGACCACAUUCUCAUCAACAAACGUUUCAGGAACUCAGUGAAUGACACAAGAGUACACAGGUCUGCAGACAUUGGAAGUGACCACUACCUUGUAUGCACAACAAUCAAGCUAAGACUCAGGAAGCGACACAAGGAAAGGAAAAGCACCAGAAUCAAGUAUGAUACAGCAAAACUGAAGAAUGAAAACAUCUUGAAGACCUUUGCCAUCCACCUAAGAAACAGGUAUCAUGUACUGGAAGAGGAAGAGCAAGGAGCACAAUAUGAAGAGGUAGAGCGUGACUUCCAAGUGAUGGAGCGAGCAUAUGUAGAAGUAGCUGAGGCAGUCUUGGGUACACCACGGAAAAAGAAGAAGCCAUGGAUCAGUGAGGAAUCAUGGAGCCUUGUAGAGGAAAGAGAAGGAAUUAAUAAGAAGAUUCUGGGAACGCAUUCUGAAAGAAUCAAGAAACAACUAAGAGAGAAGUAUGCAGAGAAGAACAAAGAGGUGAAGAGAAGUAUAAAAGCAGACAAAAGGAAAUGGAUGGAGGACAUGACAAGUGAAGCUGAGGCCGCCGCAAGAAAACAACAUAUGAAAACAUCAUAUGGAAUCACAAAGGCACUAUGCAAUGAGAGACCUAGACAGAGCACAGCAGUACUGGACAAGGAAGGCAAUCUCAUAAGCGGAAGGGAAGCAGUCAAAUCAAGAUGGACAGAACACUUCAAAGAAGUAUUAAACAGAGAAGAACCCGAAAACCCAAUAACUGAAGAAGACGAAUAUGAAUUCAACAACGGAAUGGAAGAGAUCACAGAAACUGAACCAACGCUAAGUGAAGUGAAAGAAGCCAUAAAAAGACUGCAGAAUGGCAAGGCAGCAGGAAUCGACUCAAUUACAGCUGAGCUAUUAAAAGCAGAUAUAGAGUUUUCAGCAAUGAAGGUACACCAACUGCUAGAGAAAACAUGGAAACAUGAGACGAUCCCUACAAAAUGGAAGAGAGGGUUAACUAUUAAACUAGCCAAGAAAGGCAAUCUCAAAGAAUGCAAAAACUCAAGAGGCAUAACACUUCUUUCCGUAGUGGGAAAGAUACUGGGCAGGAUUAUCAUAGAUCGGAUAAGAAAUGGAAUUGACUGCAGGCUGAGAAAAGAACAGGCAGGUUACAGGACAGGAAGGGGAACAACGGAGCAGGUCUUUAUACUUCGAAACAUAAUCGAACAGGUCAAUGAGCAGCAAGCAACACUUUAUAUGAACUUUGUAGACUUCGAAAAAGCCUUUGACUCUGUACACCAUGAAAGCCUGUGGAUCAUCUUGAAGAAGUAUGGCAUACCGGAGAAGAUUGUGAGAAUGGUGAAACUGUUUUAUGAAGACUUCCAAUGCGCAGUUGAAGACCAAGGAGAAGUAUGCGAGUGGUUUAACAUCAAAACCGGUGUCAAGCAAGGAUGCAACAUGUCAGGGUUCCUGUUCUUAAUUGUGAUGGACUGGAUAAUGAGAAGAACUGUUCAAGAAGGAGAGAAUGGAAUUAGAUGGAAGCUGACAUCAAAACUUGACGAUUUGGACUUCGCAGAUGACAUAGCAUUACUCUCCUCUACAAAACAUCACAUGCAGAAUAAAACAACCCGAAUGGACGCAGAAGCCAAGCGAGUAGGACUCAAGAUCAAUACACAAAAGACAAAAACAAUGAGGAUAAAUGCAAGAAACCAGGAAAACAUCAAGAUCAAUGAGCAAGAUAUUGAAGAGGUAAACCAGUUCACCUACCUGGGAGCCACAGUAUGUAAAGAGGGAGGCGGCAUGAAGGACCUAAAGAACAGACUAUCAAAAGCAAAAGGCUCAUUCAUCAGACUUAAAAAGACCUGGAGCUCAAACAGCAUCUCAAGAAGAACCAGGCUAAAGCUUUAUAAGACGCUAGUGGUGCCGGUAUUGCUGUAUGGAUGCGAAACAUGGAAAAUGAACAAAGGAGACAGCAAGGCAAUAGACGUAUUCCAUAAUCGAUGCCUACGAAGAAUACUCCGCAUAAAUUGGCAAGAACACGUCAGCACCAAAGAUCUGCUAGAAAGAGCUGAAAUGAAACCAUUGAGCAAGGAAGUUAAACUACGUAGAUGGAAGAUGAUUGGACACAUACUACGGCAAGACCACAACAACGACUGCAACAUAGCAAUGACCUGGGAACCAGAAGGAAAAAGAAGAAAAGGAAGACCAAAGACCACCUGGAGGCGUACCGUUGAAAAAGAAAGGGGAGAAGCAGGAUGGAAAUCAUGGGCUGAAGUCAGGACUGCAGCAGCCGACCGUGAAAAGUGGAAGCGCUCUGUGAAGGCCUUAUGUGCCACAAGGCACGAAGUGGAUAGGUAACAGGUAACCUCAGACCGCUGUGUAUUGCUAUCCUGCGGUCGUUACUAAAGUUGGUAUAACUAGAGAUGCAAGCAGUCGGUAACAUUCACCUCUCCAGGGGGUGUCUAACUCUGUGUUUCAGUGUGUUUGACCCUAAAUUAAUUAAUUAAGUGUGAUAUGAUGAUGCAAAUCUAUUAUCAGGAUGUGAAAUUGCCUUUUAUUGCCUUUUGGAAAGCUGUGGUUGAAGUGUGGACACAGGAGUGCACAGACAUACUUUAAGUUCAGCGAACAUCCCAGUCAGUCUUCUGGACAUUCCUCAUAGACAAUCCUUGUCUUGAGAGACGAAGCCCUGGGGAAAAUCCUCACUUUGGUGUGAAGACUUCCACUUUAAAAACUUUCAUGAGCAAUAUCAGCUGAGUGGACGUCAGAAAGUCAAUGGUCUGUCCUGAUAUUCCUGUUAAUGAUGCGUGUUGUGAGACACAGGUCAGUCUCACAGCGGGUUGUGAUUACAACCUUCCAUUGCAGACAGACAUUUUUUUCCUGCAUGUUGUUUGUGUAACCCUCCCAUUACAGGUUGGGAAAAACACAAACCUUGGGCUUCCAAAAAAUAACACUGUGGCCCAUGUGCAAGGACCUUGAGUCAGGAGUGUAGAGCUCUGAGCGCUGUGUUUGUAGACUGCUCUCUAACAUCUGAAUGGGGUUUUCCUACUCUUGAAAAUGUGAGGUUAAGUGGUAAACCCAAACUGCAGGCCUUAAAAUGUUCAGAGUGACAUAAGAGUAGGAAAAUCCAAGUUUCUACAUUUUAUGGUAAUCAUGGGACAUUAUGUGUGUUGGUGUGAGUGAUGGAAAAAGAGGGUAAAAGCAAAGAAAGCAGAAACUGGGGUAAAAAGGAAUGUGAAGCAGGACAUUUGAGAGUAAGUAACAGGAAAAGUGACCUUAACUGCCCAAAAGUCUGCUUUUGGUUGUUCAUUGAACCAAAUAUGUAAAAUAUUCUGACAUUAUUCGAAUCUUUUUAAGUGAGAUUGCAUUUCUCUACCACUAACUUAAACAGCAUUCGCUCUUAAGUGUGAGGAGCUUAUUGUUUGUCUUGAUUGUGGCACUCCUGCAGACUGGACUACAGAGUAAAAGGAGUGAGCAACAAGAAUAUCCAUUGAGCAUUUAGCGUGAAGUGGAGUAAAAAAUGUAGUAUUUGUCCUUCAAAAAUGAAAACAGGAAUAUGCCCUCCACUAUCCAAAAGUAAGAGUGCAAAAUGACAUCAACAGCAACCAGCUUCAUAAAACUAUUUAGACAAAUGCAUCAAGAAUAUUCAUAUCUAAAAUGCAUUGUCUUGUCUCAGUUUGUGCAUUCACAGAAGGGACUUAAGAGUGGGCGUCAAUUGUUAUAAGCACGUGUGACCUGAAGGGCAUGUGCUGUUCAUAAGAUGUGGUCUACUGUUUCAAUAAGUGAAGGCAAAUGUACUGUACAUGUGUGGCCCUCUCAGGUAUAUGUAAGAAGCACUAAAUGUAAAAAUUUGGAAUAGUUAGCAUCAGUGCUUUACAGUAAUUUACAUUAGCCUUGCCAACUCCUCUGUUUUCAGAUGUUAUAUUCAGAGCAGACUCCAUGUAGAUAAAAAUUUAAAAAACUCAAUCUCACUUUUUAUUGUUUCUUUGCACUCCUCUACAAAAACAAAUAAACUGUGUCUUCCCAAACCCCUUUUACCCCGUCCAUGAAAUCACACCUGCUGAAUAGGGUUUCCCAUCUGGAAGUUCAGGUCAACAAACACUACGGUAUGUUCUGUACUGUUUGGACAUUUAUUCAGCUUUUAAAUUGGAGCAAACAAAAACAAUUCUGCAGACCUCAGCUCUGAACUAUCUGUGCUUGUUGUGAAAGAAAAAAGGUUGCAGAGAUAAAGGAUGAAAAUGAGAAAGACACAGAAAGUGGCAGCAAAAUGAUAGGGCUGCACUGUAAGCAUUUCUCUCUGACAGUGUUGGAGCUGAGAGUGUAGUGAUUGUUUAGUCUGAAACCCAGUGAACAAAAGCAGCAUGAAUAGAUGGGGUUGAUUCCCCAGCUUGAUUGACAAAUCCCUGCCAAUUGUGUCAGCGUGUCAGUGCGCGCUUUCCACCGGCGUCAUUGUGAAGGCAAAAGAGGCUGUUGUCAUGGAAAACAAACUCUGAUCUUCAGUGUUGUCACACCAGCUCUCUGUGACUGGAAUUAGGUCAGGACUUCCCCCUUAAUGACAUACAAUGAAACAGUGUUACUGUAGAAAUAAGAUGAAAUCUCACAAACCAUUGGCACUAUUGGAAGCUCUUUGUAGAGUUUAUCUCUUACCUGAAUUGUCUGCAAUGUCCUAUUGAGAGACCCAGAGAUAGAGAAGUAAAUACUGUAGAUAUUGAGCAUUAACUGGCUAAAAAAGCUAACAAAGUGUCUCAUGUUUUUUAUUUUAAAAGACUAAAUUUAUCACUACAUUGUCUGCCUUUAAGGUUACAUUCUCAGCUCCAUAGCACUCAGGUUCACACAGCUGUGAUCAUCGCACCAGAGAAACAUAUUUGAUGUGAUUGAAAUUCUUCCUGUUUUCUGACAGGGACAAAAAAAAAAGGAAAUUCUCUGUCGUAAAAGAAAGUAAACAUCAGAUUCCCUUCCCUUCUGCCAGCAUACUUACAUUAACUCUCUUGAUGUUGCUUGAUGCACAUGAGCAAAGUCCUUCAGUGGCCAAAGUAAGCCGCCUGGUUGCAUAGGAACAGAAGAAAAAGGGAGCCAGAUAUAGUUACUGAUAACAGGGUUACUGCCCUUUCCUCUGUUCUCUCUCACCAAAAAUGUGCUGCACAGUCUUGUGUUUUGUGGAGAAGCUUUGACAUUUAUGUGAUUGAAUACCUCCACAUUUGCUUCACUCUUGCCAACUUUCCCAAUGUUGCAUUCUCUAGCUUUUGGUAUUUAUUUGUAUGUUUUUUAUGUCUGCAGACUCUUAAUGGUAGUGUGCAAUUCUUUGCAAGUUAGUUAUAUAUUAAUUUACAGACUGAUAGCUGGAGCUUUAAGUGAUUGUUGCAAGUGAUUUCUUUAAAAUUGUUUUAUUUUAUGAUUUUAAACCACCAAAAGUUACUGAAGUUUGGAGUUAAGUCCAGUCUGUAGAUGGUUCCAAGUGAAAGGUGCAGAAAACCUAAAGGCUGUCUUUCCCAGUGCAGUUCUGACUUAGGGAAUAAGAAAUUGCACAAAGGUUGUGUGACCUGUCCUUUGGGACCAGUAUAGCGGAAAAGUAGACCGGGACUUUGUCCAGAAUGGCCUUAUAAAUAAAAGUGUACCAGUGCAGGAGUCACCUUGUGCUGAAAGCAGGCCACUUAACUAUGGUGUAUAAAUCGCAGUGGUGGGUGAGAAAGCUACAGUUGGAAAUAAAUCCCUGAGCUUCAUGAUACACACUGUCCAGCAUGUAAGGACUCUGGGCAGAGGCAUGCAUGUACAACACAUCACCAUAAUCAAGGAUAGGUGAAAAUGUAGAUUCAACCAGCCUUCCUUUUUACAUGAAAGGAGAAGCAGGACUUAUUUCUAAAAUAAAAACCCAACAGAACUUUCAGCUUUUUGGCAACAUACUGAUUUGGUAACAUACUGAUUGUGCUCCUUAAAGGAGCACAAUCAGUAUGUUGCCAGUAUGUUACAAUCAAUACAAAACCCUAAGUAUUUGAAAGAAAAAAAAACUGUUUAAUUUCAUUACCGUCUUUGUUCCGAAUUUUCUUAGACAGUGUUCUGAGCCAUAGCUUUGCCUGGUUUUGUUAGCAAAGAGACCAAACACAACUCACCCACUCUCCUCCAGCAGCCGCUUGUUUGUGGGGGAGCCCUGAUGAGUCGAUCACCAAGUGCAGAUGUAUGCUUAAUUUUACGCCAGGAUAUUCCUUUAAAUUAAGUCAGAUGUAUGCUGACAUUACUGUAAGAUAAGUAAUGAUUAGCACUGAAAUUGAGAUUCUUACUAUGUCUCAUUCAGCAUCUGGAUAUGAAAAGUGACCAGAAAGGAUUUCAGAAGACAAACAGCUCUAUCAGCUAGAUGACUGAAUUGAAGUGUGCCUGUCUGUCAAAUGUGUCACACAAAAAAACCUAAAUAUUGCAACUUUAAAAGCCUGCAUUUUAACACAGAUUAGCACCAGCAUUUGUGCACCAACAUGUUGCACUAAUUCUUAUAAAAAGAAAUGAGAAAAGAGAAACAUUCGAAACACAUUAAUCAAAUGUUUGGAAAGAAAGAUAAAGGAAAGCUCUUAUAACACUAGAUGCACACUCAAUAGCAGUCAUUUCUGUUUUUAUUUAAAUGAUGUCUUUUGUAGAAGCUUCUCUCAGAAAUAAUAUUAUACCUUCUUUUAAGGACCAAAAACUCAUUUGACCACUUCCAGAUGCGUGAAGUGACCACCCCUGUUAUCCUGCGACUAUUUUAAGCCUCACAUUAUUCAGGGUCUUUGUUUCACUCCAUAAAGUGGGACCACUUUCCCUCAUUCAUGCAGCUAAUAAGUGGGGGAGUGAAAAUAGACCUUUUGUGAGCCUCUCUCUUUCAUCUUGGGUGGCCCUCGUACCGCUGAAUGCAUAAAUUGCUCUUUUGUCUUUUGCAUUGGUGUGAGCAGUCAAGCCGCAGCAAGCAACAAAAUUAUCUUUAAAAAAAGAACAAGUACCCUGUCUGUACAAAUGAGAAUACAGAAUAAACAAAAAACUUAAUAUGUACAACAACAAUUC